CUUUUCACGCUGAUCAAGUAAAUUUAUGGUGUCUCUUUUCUGAUCUUCAACAUUAAAAACUAAAAAGGAAAAACACAUAAUAUUCUAUAGAGUAUUAAAUGAGAUACUAGCCCUAGGCAGGUCCCAUUUUCUUAUCAACUUCUAGAAACUGUCAUAAAGAGGACUGCAUCUCCCACAGCAACACUGUAAUUGGGAGUUGUAUUCCUCAUCAAGGACAAGAUGGCAACGGUGAUAUGGGAGGGGGACAGGGAAGUGCUGGGUAGAGAAGGGCAGGGUCACUGGCAAGGGCUCCACCCUCAGGCUUGUGCCCAUGGACCUAAUGAGAACAAGGACUCCUGUCUUCUUGCCCAAAUGUUGCAUUUUCCAAGACCACUCUGGCCUGCCAUGCCACCCAUUCUGUGCCUAUAAAAACCCUGAGACCCCAGCGGGCACACACACAAGCGGCUGGACGUCAAGAGGAACACACUGGCAGAAGAACACAUCGAAAGACGCUGGCAGGCCAUUGAUGGUGGAACGAUUCGGACGCCAAGGGAAAUUCGGCCAAGGACAGUAGGAGAUCCCGGCUGCUGAGCAGCCAGACUCCAGAGGAAGACUACCUUCCCAUGCUAUCCCCCUUCUGGCUCCCCAGCCAUCUGCUGAGAGCUACUUCCACCACUCAAU
RNAcentral lists this long non-coding RNA (660 nucleotides) under Homo sapiens (human). Its description in RNAcentral is "HSALNT0353316". Lineage: Eukaryota; Metazoa; Chordata; Mammalia; Primates; Hominidae. The record is from RNAcentral.